UACGUAGGUGGCAAGCGUUGUCCGGAACUAUUGGGCGUAAAGGGUGCGCAGGUGGCGGCGCGUGGGGGGUGAAAUCGCCCGGCUUAACUGGGCGGGGGCCUUCCAGACGGCGUGGCUUGAGCAGCGGAGGGGGACGUGGAAUUCCGGGUGGAGCGGUGAAAUGCGUAGAGAUCCGGAGGAACACCGACGGCGCAGGCAGCGUCCUGGCCGCUUGCUGACACUGAGGCACGAAAGCUGGGGGAGCAAACAGG
RNAcentral lists this ribosomal RNA (251 nucleotides) under uncultured bacterium. Its description in RNAcentral is "partial 16S ribosomal RNA". It matches the Rfam family "Bacterial small subunit ribosomal RNA", at positions 524 to 776 of the family's 1533-position model. The record is from RNAcentral.